UACAGAGGGUGCGAGCGUUAAUCGGAAUUACUGGGCGUAAAGGGCGCGUAGGCGGCCGCCUAAGUCAGACGUGAAAUCCCCCGGCUUAACCUGGGAACUGCGUCUGAUACUGGACGGCUUGAGUAUGGGAGAGGAACGUAGAAUUCCAGGUGUAGCGGUGAAAUGCGUAGAUAUCUGGAGGAACACCGGUGGCGAAGGCGGCAUCCUGGACCGAGAUUGACGCUGAGGCGCGAAAGCCAGGGGAGCAAACGGG
This 253-nucleotide ribosomal RNA is filed under the name uncultured bacterium. RNAcentral's name for it is "partial 16S ribosomal RNA". It matches the Rfam family "Bacterial small subunit ribosomal RNA", at positions 524 to 776 of the family's 1533-position model. The record is from RNAcentral.